GACGAACGCUGGCGGCGUGCUUAACACAUGCAAGUCGAACGGAAAGGCCCUGCUUUUGUGGGGUGCUCGAGUGGCGAACGGGUGAGUAACACGUGAGUAACCUGCCCUUGACUUUGGGAUAACUUCACGGAACUGGGGCUAAUACCGGAUAGGAGCUCCUGCUGCAUGGGGGGGGUUGGAAAGUUUCGGCGGUUGGGGAUGGAUUCGCGGCUUAUCAGCUUGUUGGGGGGGUAGUGGCUUACCAAGGCUUUGAGGGGUAGCCGGCCUGAGAGGGGGACCGGCCACAUGGGGACUGAGAGACGGCCCAGACGCCUACGGGAGGCAGCAGUGGGGAAUAUGGCACAAUGGGCGGAAGCCUGAUGCAGCAACGCCGCGUGCGGGAUGACGGCCUUCGGGUUGUAAACCGCUUUCGCCUGUGACGAAGCGUGAGUGACGGUAAUGGGUAAAGAAGCACCGGCUAACUACGUG
RNAcentral lists this ribosomal RNA (468 nucleotides) under uncultured bacterium. RNAcentral's name for it is "partial 16S ribosomal RNA". It matches the Rfam family "Bacterial small subunit ribosomal RNA", at positions 28 to 507 of the family's 1533-position model. The record is from RNAcentral.